Molecule: ribosomal RNA, 434 nt
Filed under: uncultured Lachnospiraceae bacterium
Lineage: Bacteria; Bacillati; Bacillota; Clostridia; Lachnospirales; Lachnospiraceae
Description: bacterial SSU rRNA
Rfam family: Bacterial small subunit ribosomal RNA
Source: RNAcentral
ACGGGAGGCAGCAGUGGGGAAUAUUGCACAAUGGGGGAAACCCUGAUGCAGCGACGCCGCGUGAGUGAAGAAGUAUUUCGGUAUGUAAAGCUCUAUCAGCAGGGAAGAAAAUGACGGUACCUGACUAAGAAGCUCCGGCUAAAUACGUGCCAGCAGCCGCGGUAAUACGUAUGGAGCAAGCGUUAUCCGGAUUUACUGGGUGUAAAGGGAGUGUAGGUGGUAUCACAAGUCAGAAGUGAAAGCCCGGGGCUCAACCCCGGGACUGCUUUUGAAACUGUGGAACUAGAGUGCAGGAGGGGUGAGUGGAAUUCCUAGUGUAGCGGUGAAAUGCGUAGAUAUUAGGAGGAACACCAGUGGCGAAGGCGGCUCACUGGACUGUAACUGACACUGAGGCUCGAAAGCGUGGGGAGCAAACAGGAUUAGAUACCCUGGUA